Molecule: microRNA precursor, 56 nt
Filed under: Cordylochernes scorpioides
Lineage: Eukaryota; Metazoa; Arthropoda; Arachnida; Pseudoscorpiones; Chernetidae
Source: RNAcentral
GGUCGGGACCUGUGUCAGUAUUGUGGACCGACAAAUAUUGCACUCUUCCCGGCCUA